AAACUACUUCCUUUUAUCCUACAAAAACAGAUGCCAACAAUGACAACUUGUUAGAUUUAAAUGUGUUUUAUGAAUUUAUUUCACUUUAUCAUCACUUUCUUCGUCUGUUGAAACCUAUAAGAUUUUUUCUCAUUAAUGUUUGUUUUUCUAAAGGGACGUAACACCACUACUAACCGUGUAUGAAAUAAGCCCGCCUCCCAACUAACUUAUAUUAAAUAUACACGG
RNAcentral lists this long non-coding RNA (225 nucleotides) under Mytilus galloprovincialis (Mediterranean mussel). Lineage: Eukaryota; Metazoa; Mollusca; Bivalvia; Mytilida; Mytilidae. The record is from RNAcentral.